CACAUUGCGGGAGCCGGAAGAUAGUCCCCCUGUAGCGAAAAUUACGGGGGGUAGGACUCUCGCCCCGAGCAAUCGGGUCACCCUGCUUUCCUGAGCACCAUUCGUUUCCUCGGCGGGCGUGCCCGCUAGUGGGGACCCCUAAAACCCCUUGCAAUAAGCAGUAACUGUCGGCGAGAAACAAUCGUAA
This 187-nucleotide unclassified non-coding RNA is filed under the name uncultured fungus. RNAcentral's name for it is "sequence contains ITS1, 5.8S rRNA gene". The record is from RNAcentral. Lineage: Eukaryota; Fungi.